Molecule: ribosomal RNA, 253 nt
Filed under: uncultured bacterium
Lineage: Bacteria
Description: partial 16S ribosomal RNA
Rfam family: Bacterial small subunit ribosomal RNA
Source: RNAcentral
UACGUAGGUGGCAAGCGUUGUCCGGAUUUACUGGGCGUAAAGGGCGUGCAGGCGGUUUGUUAAGUGCAGGGUGAAAGCGCCCGGCUCAACUGGGAGAGGUCCUUGCAUACUGGCGAACUCGAGGGAGGCAGAGGAAAGUGGAAUUCCCGGUGUAGUGGUGAUAUGCGUAGAUAUCGGGAGGAACACCUGUGGCGAAGGCGGCUUUCUGGGCCUCACCUGACGCUGAGACGCGAAAGCGUGGGGAGCGAACCGG